CCGAGUUUACAACUCCCAAACCCAAUGUGAACGUUACCAAACUGUUGCCUCGGCGGGAUCUCUGCCCCGGGUGCGUCGCAGCCCCGGACCAAGGCGCCCGCCGGAGGACCAACCAAAACUCUUUUUGUAUACCCCCUCGCGGGUUUUUUAUAAUCUGAGCCUUCUCGGCGCCUCUCGUAGGCGUUUCGAAAAUGAAUCAAAACUUUCAACAACGGAUCUCUUGGUUCUGGCAUCGAUGAAGAACGCAGCGAAAUGCGAUAAGUAAUGUGAAUUGCAGAAUUCAGUGAAUCAUCGAAUCUUUGAACGCACAUUGCGCCCGCCAGUAUUCUGGCGGGCAUGCCUGUCCGAGCGUCAUUUCAACCCUCGAACCCCUCCGGGGGGUCGGCGUUGGGGAUCGGCCCUGCCUCUUGGCGGUGGCCGUCUCCGAAAUACAGUGGCGGUCUCGCCGCAGCCUCUCCUGCGCAGUAGUUUGCACACUCGCAUCGGGAGCGCGGCGCGUCCACAGCCGUUAAACACCCAACUUCUGAAAUGUUGACCUCGGAUCAGGUAGGAAUACCCGCUGAACUUAAGCAUAUCAA
RNAcentral lists this ribosomal RNA (578 nucleotides) under Trichoderma harzianum. RNAcentral describes it as "eukaryotic LSU rRNA". The stretch from base 201 to 354 matches the Rfam family "5.8S ribosomal RNA". The record is from RNAcentral. Lineage: Eukaryota; Fungi; Ascomycota; Sordariomycetes; Hypocreales; Hypocreaceae.